UACGGGGGGGGCAAGCGUUGUUCGGAAUUACUGGGCGUAAAGGGCUCGUAGGCAGCCAACUAAGUCAGACGUGAAAUCCCCAGGCUCAACCUGGGAACUGCGUCUGAUACUGGAUGGCUUGAAUCCGGGAGAGGGAUGCAGAAUUCCAGGUGUAGCGGUGAAAUGCGUAGAUAUCUGGAGGAAUACCGGUGGCGAAGGCGGCAUCCUGGACCGGCAUUGACGCUGAGGAGCGAAAGCCAGGGGAGCAAACGGG
This 253-nucleotide ribosomal RNA is filed under the name uncultured bacterium. Its description in RNAcentral is "partial 16S ribosomal RNA". It matches the Rfam family "Bacterial small subunit ribosomal RNA", at positions 524 to 776 of the family's 1533-position model. The record is from RNAcentral.